AGAGCUCCGGCCUGGAAGAGGGAGGGGAGCAUCAGUUGGCGCCGGAAGAGUGGUCAGGAAGCUGAUGCAGCCGCUCAGGGGGAGAUAAAGACAGGCUGCUCUGGGCUGGGCGGGGUGGACGGAGAUGCUGCAGGAUCUUGAAUAUGGUUCUCUGUGCUGUACAGCAGGACCUUGUUGUUUAUCCAUUCUGUAUAUUUGAGCAUCCAUCAGUGAUUCACGCCUGCAACAGUUACUACUGUGGU
Molecule: long non-coding RNA, 242 nt
Organism: Eubalaena glacialis (North Atlantic right whale)
Lineage: Eukaryota; Metazoa; Chordata; Mammalia; Artiodactyla; Balaenidae
Exons: 3
Source: RefSeq, a predicted model, not a curated record